Molecule: ribosomal RNA, 141 nt
Filed under: uncultured eukaryote
Lineage: Eukaryota
Description: partial 18S ribosomal RNA
Rfam family: Eukaryotic small subunit ribosomal RNA
Source: RNAcentral
UGGUGGAGUGAUUUGUCUGGUUAAUUCCGUUAACGAACGAGACCUCAGCCUGCUAAAUAGUUACGUGAACAUUCGUGUUCGCGGCCAACUUCUUAGAGGGACUAUCGGCGUAUAGCCGGCUGGAAGUUUGAGGCAAUAACA